RNAcentral lists this ribosomal RNA (734 nucleotides) under uncultured Bacteroidales bacterium. Its description in RNAcentral is "bacterial SSU rRNA". It matches the Rfam family "Bacterial small subunit ribosomal RNA", at positions 48 to 776 of the family's 1533-position model. Lineage: Bacteria; Pseudomonadati; Bacteroidota; Bacteroidia; Bacteroidales. The record is from RNAcentral.
UUAACACAUGCAAGUCGAGGGGCAGCGGGGAGUAGCAAUACUCCGCCGGCGACCGGCGCACGGGUGCGUAACGCGUAUGCAACCUACCUUUAACAGGGGCAUAACACUGAGAAAUUGGUACUAAUUCCCCAUAACAUUCGAGAAGGCAUCUUCUUGGGUUAAAAACUCCGGUGGUUAAAGAUGGGCAUGCGUUGUAUUAGCUAGUUGGUGAGGUAACGGCUCACCAAGGCAACGAUACAUAGGGGGACUGAGAGGUUAACCCCCCACAUUGGUACUGAGACACGGACCAAACUCCUACGGGAGGCAGCAGUGAGGAAUAUUGGUCAAUGGACGCAAGUCUGAACCAGCCAUGCCGCGUGCAGGAAGACAGCUCUAUGAGUUGUAAACUGCUUUUGUACUAGGGUAAACGCUCCUACGUGUAGGAGUCUGAAAGUAUAGUACGAAUAAGGAUCGGCUAACUCCGUGCCAGCAGCCGCGGUAAUACGGAGGAUCCAAGCGUUAUCCGGAUUUAUUGGGUUUAAAGGGUGCGUAGGCGGUUUGAUAAGUUAGAGGUGAAAUACCGGGGCUCAACUCCGGAACUGCCUCUAAUACUGUUGAACUAGAGAGUAGUUGCGGUAGGCGGAAUGUAUGGUGUAGCGGUGAAAUGCUUAGAGAUCAUACAGAACACCGAUUGCGAAGGCAGCUUACCAAACUAUAUCUGACGUUGAGGCACGAAAGCGUGGGGAGCAAACAGG